This 912-nucleotide ribosomal RNA is filed under the name uncultured Rhizopogon. Its description in RNAcentral is "eukaryotic LSU rRNA". The stretch from base 350 to 504 matches the Rfam family "5.8S ribosomal RNA". Lineage: Eukaryota; Fungi; Basidiomycota; Agaricomycetes; Boletales; Rhizopogonaceae. The record is from RNAcentral.
AGGAUCAUUAAUGAAAUGUGUAAAAGAUGCACUUCUUAAGUAGUUGAGGAAUUUAGGGGGUUAAAAUAGUUGUUGCUGGCCUUGUCAUGAGGCAUUGUGCACGCUACCUCUGAGGACCUCUUCAAACUGGGGUGUGUGUCUAUCAUCUCAUCUCUCACCUGUGCACUUAAUGUAGGUCUGCAUGGUUUUGGUAAAACGAAACUGUGCUAGAGCCUCUCUCUCUGCGGGGGGAAAGGACGAAAGUACCUAUGUCUUCAAAUACAUCUUUGUGUAGAAAGUCUUAGAAUGUUUACUAUCAUUGAGUCACGACUCUUAGGAGACGUGGGUCUUUGAGAUAAAAGUUUAUUACAACUUUCAGCAAUGGAUCUCUUGGCUCUCGCAUCGAUGAAGAACGCAGCGAAACGCGAUAUGUAAUGUGAAUUGCAGAUCUACAGUGAAUCAUCGAAUCUUUGAACGCACCUUGCGCUCCUUGGUAUUCCGAGGAGCAUGCCUGUUUGAGUGUCAGUAAUUUCUCAACCCCUUUCAAUUAAGUUUGAAUGGGAGCUUGGAUAGUGGGGGUUUGCAGGAAACUUGGAUAUUUUCUUUAACUAGAAAAAGUCUAGGAUUCGAGCUCUCCUGAAAUACAUUGGCUUGCGGGUCUACUUUCGACUUUGUGCGAUAAGGCUUUCGGUGUGAUAAUGAUCACCGUAUGCUGAAGUGCAUAACUGUAAAGUUCCGUGCCUCUAAUAUUGUCGAUCCUAUCCUUAUAGGAUGGAUCUUCCUUAUAUGACAUUUUGACCUCAAAUCAGGUAGGACUACCCGCUGAACUUAAGCAUAUCAAUAAGCGGAGGAAAAGAAACUAACAAGGAUUCCCCUAGUAACUGCGAGUGAACCGGGAAAAGCUCAAAUUUUGAAUCUGGCAGUCCUUUGAGG